UGUGGUUAAGAUGUAAAGGGUGCAAGGUGGAUGAUUUGGCGUCAAGAACCGAUGAAGGACGUGGUACGGCUGCGAUAAGCCUCGGGGAGCUGCCAAGCAAGCUUUGAUCCGGGGAUUUCCGAAUAGGGAAACCUGGCUGGGGUUAUGCCCAGUCACCCGGCACUGAAUACAUAGGUGUCGGGAGGGAACGAGGGGAACUGAAACAUCUCAGUACCCUCAGGAAAAGAAAGAAACCUCUACUCCCUCAGUAGCGGCGAGCGAACGGGGAACAGCCUAAACCUCAUACAUGUAAGGGCGCACCGUUGUGUAUGUGGUGUCGUGGGAUCUGCCUGGGUGAUGCGAUAAUCCCAGGGAGUUACAAAAGUAUCGGAUAGCUGAACGGUCUGGAAGGGCCGACAAUAAAGGGUGAUAGUCCCGUAGGCGAAAUUCGAUACCCUCCUGGCAGACUCCCAAGUAGGGCCAGUCACGUGGAACCUGGUCUGAAUCUGGGGGGCCCACCCCCCAAGGCUAAGUAUUCCUUGACGACCGAUAGUGCAUAAGUAGCGCGAGCGAAUAUUGAAAAGUACCCCUGUUAGGGGAGUGAAAUAGUACCUGAAACCAAGCACCUACAAGCAGUGGGAGCCCCAUGUUCGACGGGGUGACCGCGUGCCUUUUGCAUAAUGACCCGUCGAGUUGCCGUGUAUGGCUAGGCUAAGGCCUUAAGGGCCGUAACCGAAGGGAAACCGAGUGUUAAUAGCGCGUGCAGUCAUACGUGGCAGACCCGAAAGCAGGUGAUCUAACCAUGGCCAGGCUGAAGCGGGUGUAAAAGCCCGUGGAGGGCCGAACAGGUGUAGGUUGAAAACUGCUCUGAUGAGCUGUGGUUAGGGGUAAAAGGCCAAUCAAACCUGCAGAUAGCUGGUUCUCCCCGAAAUGUCUUUUGGGGCAGCGUCGGGUUUUAAGUCGCGGGGGUAGAGCUACUGAAGGGGAUAGGGGGGCUUCCCGCCUACCCUACCUCAUCAAACUCCGAAUACCGCGAUGUACAAUCCGGCAGUGAGUCCACGGGGGAGAAGCUCCGUGGACGAAAGGGAAACAACCCAGAUCGCCGGCUAAGGUCCCUAAUCCGUGCUAAGUGCAGAAGGAGGUGGGUUUGCAAUGACAGCUGGGAUGUUGGCUUAGAAGCAGCCACCAUUUAAAAAGUGCGUAAUAGCUUACCAGUCGAGCAGGCCCGCGCCGAAAAUUAACGGGACUCAAGUACGGAACCGAAGCCGCGGGGAUCAGAUUCGUCGUUGACGGUCUGGUUCGGUAGGGGAGCGUUCCAUGUGGGUCGAAGCCGUACCGUAAGGAGCGGUGGACCGCCUGGAAGUGAGAAUGACGGGAUGAGUAACGAGAAAACAGGUGAGAAUCCUGUUCGUCGUAAGUCUAAGGUUUCCUGGGGAAGGCAAAUCCUCCCAGGGUUAGUCGGAUCCUAAGGCGAGGCCGAAAGGCGUAGUCGAUGGAUAACAGGUUAAUAUUCCUGUACCACUUGCAAUCGUUCCACCCAAAGGGGUGACGGAGAAGGUAAGGCGAGCCGGCAGUUAGUGUCCGGUGAAAGCGUGUAGGGAGGAGGCCUAGGUAAAUCCGGGCCUUCGUUAAUCCUGAGACGCGAGACGAGCCCGUUUUGUUGGCGAAGUCGCUGGUUCCAUGCUUCCUAGAAAACCCUCGUUGGGGAGUUGCAAGUGUCCGUACCGCAAACCGACACAGGUAGACGAGAUGAAUAUUCUAAGACGCUCGGGAGAACCAUCCUUAAGGAACUCGGCAUAAUGGCCCCGUAACUUCGGGAGAAGGGGUGCCCUUGGCGGUGAAGCGGCUUGCCCGCUGAGCUGUCGAGGGUCACAGCAAAUCGGCCCAACCGACUGUUUACCAAAAACACAGGUCUGUGCUAAGUCGCAAGACGCCGUAUACAGACUGACGCCUGCCCAAUGCUGGAAGGUCAAAGGGAGGGGUUAUCCUUCGGGAGAAGCUCUGAACCCAAGCCCCAGUGAAUGGCGGCCGUAACUAUGACGGUCCUAAGGUAGCGAAAUUCCUUGUCGGGUAAGUUCCGACCCGCACGAAUGGCGUAACGAGUUGGGCACUGUCUCGAGGAUGGACCCGGUGAAAUUGAACUCGUGGUGAAGAUGCCACGUACCCGCAGCAAGACGGAAAGACCCCGUGAACCUUUACUGCAGCAUAGUAUUGGGUGCUAGCAGCUCAUGUGUAGGAUAGGUGGGAGGCUUUGAAGCUGGGACGCUAGUUCCGGUGGAGCCAACCUUGAAAUACCACCCUUGUGUUGUUGGCGUUCUAACCUGGUUCCGUGAAUCCGGGCCAGUGACAGUGCUAUGUGGGCAGUUUGGCUGGGGCGGUCUCCUCCAAAAGAGUAACGGAGGAGUGCAAAGGCAUCCUCAGCAUGGUCGGCAACCAUGCGUAGAGCGCAAGGGUAAAAGGGUGCUUGACUGUGAGAUCGAUGGAUCGAACAGGUGUGAAAGCAGGCCUUAGUGAUCCGGCGGUUCCGAGUGGAAGGGCCGUCGCUCAUCAGAUAAAAGGUACUCCGGGGAUAACAGGCUGAUCUCGCCCAAGAGUUCAUAUCGACGGCGAGGUUUGGCACCUCGAUGUCGGCUCAUCACAUCCUGGGGCUGAAGGAGGUCCCAAGGGUUUGGCUGUUCGCCAAUUAAAGUGGUACGCGAGCUGGGUUCAGACCGGCGUGAGCCAGGUCGGUCCCUAUCUGCUGUGGGCGUAGGAAGGUUGAGGGGUUCUGACCCUAGUACGAGAGGAUUGGGUUGGACGAACCUCUGGUGUUCCUGUUGUCGUGCUAACGGCAGCGCAGGGUAGCUAUGUUCGGACAGGAUAAGCGCUGAAAGCAUAUAAGCGCGAAGCCCUCCCCAAGAUCGACCUUCCCUAUCAGGGCCGUGGAAGACUACCACGUUGAUAGGCCAGGGGUGUAAGCACAGCGAUGUGUUCAGCUGACUGGUACUAACCGCCCGAUUGGCUUAACCAC
This 2989-nucleotide ribosomal RNA is filed under the name Planctomycetota bacterium. RNAcentral's name for it is "bacterial LSU rRNA". It matches the Rfam family "Bacterial large subunit ribosomal RNA". The record is from RNAcentral. Lineage: Bacteria; Pseudomonadati; Planctomycetota.